This 380-nucleotide ribosomal RNA is filed under the name uncultured bacterium. RNAcentral describes it as "bacterial SSU rRNA". It matches the Rfam family "Bacterial small subunit ribosomal RNA", at positions 521 to 896 of the family's 1533-position model. The record is from RNAcentral.
UAAGACAGAGGGGGCGAGCGUUGUCCGAAGUUACUGGGCGUAAAGGGCGCGGAGGCGGUCUGCGGCGUCGGCGCUGAAAGCGCCCCGCUUAACGGGGCGAGGCGCGCCGAUACGCGCAGGCUGGAGGCAAGCAGAGGGCGGCGGAAUUCCGGGUGGAGCGGUGAAAUGCGUAGAGAUCGGCAGGAAGACCAAGGGGGAAGCCAGGGGGCUGGCCGCGAGCUGACGCUGAGGCGCGACGGCGUGGGGAGCCAACCGGAUUAGAUACCCGGGUAGUCCACGCCGUAAACGAUGACCACUCGGCGUGUGGCGACUAUUGACGUCGCGGCGCGCCCAAGCUCACGCGAUAAGUGGUCCGCCUGGGAACUACGAGCGCAAGCUUA